GCAUAUCAAUAAGCGGAGGAAAAGAAACCAACAGGGAUUGCCCUAGUAACGGCGAGUGAAGCGGCAACAGCUCAAAUUUGAAAUCUGGCUCUCUUUGGGGGUCCGAGUUGUAAUUUGCAGAGGAUGCUUUGGCAUUGGCGGCGUUCUAAGUUCCUUGGAACAGGACAUCACAGAGGGUGAGAAUCCCGUACGUGGUCGCCUGCCUUUGCCGUGUAAAGCUCCUUCGACGAGUCGAGUUGUUUGGGAAUGCAGCUCUAAAUGGGAGGUAAAUUUCUUCUAAAGCUAAAUACCGGCCAGAGACCGAUAGCGCACAAGUAGAGUGAUCGAAAGAUGAAAAGUACUUUGGAAAGAGAGUCAAAAAGCACGUGAAAUUGUUGAAAGGGAAGCGCUUGCAGCCAGACUUGCCCGCAGUUGCUCACCUAGGCUUUGGCCUGGGGCACUCUUCUGCGGGCAGGCCAGCAUCAGUUUGGGCGGUUGGAUAAAGGCCUCUGUCACGUAUCUCCCUCCGGGGUGACCUUAUAGGGGAGGCGUAAUGCAACCAGCCCGGACUGAGGUCCGCGCAUCUGCUAGGAUGCUGGCGUAAUGGCUGUAAGCGGCCCGUCUUGAAACACGGACCAAGGAGUCUAACAUCUAUGCGAGUGUUUGGGUGUCAAGCCCGGGCGCGCAAUGAAAGUGAACGGAGGUGGGAACCCUUUGGGUGCACCAUCGACCGAUCCUGAUGUCUUCGGAUGGAUUUGAGUAAGAGCAUAGCUGUUGGGACCCGAAAGAUGGUGAACUAUGCUUGAAUAGGGUGAAGCCAGAGGAAACUCUGGUGGAGGCUCGCAGCGGUUCUGACGUGCAAAUCGAUCGUCAAAUUUGGGCAUAGGGGCGAAAGACUAAUCGAACCAUCUAGUAGCUGGUUCCUGCCG
Molecule: ribosomal RNA, 908 nt
Filed under: Didymosphaeria variabile
Lineage: Eukaryota; Fungi; Ascomycota; Dothideomycetes; Pleosporales; Didymosphaeriaceae
Description: eukaryotic LSU rRNA
Rfam family: Eukaryotic large subunit ribosomal RNA
Source: RNAcentral